UUCAGCUUGCCUCUAAAUGGGCAGGUGGGCCCUACCUCAGGGAGGAUCCAGCAAGAUCAAAGAUAUGGAAAUUCUUUACUGGUGACAUCUGAAUAAUUAGAGAAAAAUCCUAAUGGGAGGAGGACUGUGAGGCAGUGGACCUGGAGUCAAAUCCCCUUUGUGAACAGAGGACCUGGGACAAGUCAUUUGGGACUUGGUAACAUUCUCCCCACUCCUGCUUCAAUGAGUAAGCCAGCAACUCUGCAUCCUCAGGCUCAGACUGCAACAUUACCUUCUCAGGAAUGCCUUCUCUGUCUGCCCGGAGAGACGGUACCCUGUGCUUCUUGCAUCCUCUAUGCCUUGCUCAGUGCCAGCAGGCCAGAGGCAGAAGCCCAAUGUUGGCCGAAGAAGUGGACUUUGAACCAUCCACCCAGAAAUGCAGCCCUGGGUCAAUCCUAUGCUGGACACUGGAUGAGGAAACCGAGGCUCACAGAAUGUGAAUGAUACAUAUUAAUAAAAGCUGCCUAGUAAGGGGCAGAACCAGGACCAA
Long non-coding RNA from Bubalus bubalis (water buffalo), 529 nucleotides. RefSeq lists it as uncharacterized. The transcript has 3 exons. The record is from RefSeq and is a predicted model, not a curated record. NCBI's taxonomy places the organism in Eukaryota, Metazoa, Chordata, Mammalia, Artiodactyla, Bovidae.